Molecule: long non-coding RNA, 659 nt
Filed under: Triticum aestivum (bread wheat)
Lineage: Eukaryota; Viridiplantae; Streptophyta; Magnoliopsida; Poales; Poaceae
Description: long non-coding RNA (TAES_LNC001638)
Source: RNAcentral
CUUGGUUUGCUUCUCUUGAAUUAAAUUUUAACAUGUAUGACCGUCCAUUGUUUGGUGGUCCUUUAUAUUAACUCAUCACUAAACUCCUAGUUGGUGUCUUGGUGUGUCUCUAGAAUUUGUUUGGCCUCCUUCCUACGUUGAUCAAUUGGGAUGUGAAUGGAGGCACACUCAUGUGUCCGCAAUUAUAUGUGCAUACAUGGGUACCUAGUGUGCAGGAUUGAACAGGUGAUGAUUCUCAUGACGUGACAACACCUGUUUGACUAGCAACGAUAAUUCCCACAUUGUCUCCAACUAUACAUAUAUGGAGUAAUGGCACUUCCAUCACCCCUCAUCUUUGUUGCCUCACUGCCUCUCCCCCCAUCAAAGUGAUAUAUUAUCAAAGGCUCCACUUUUCCUUCCCUUACUCUAACUAAUCUACAACACUUCUAAUGACACGUCAAGCCUUGUCACUGCAGAGCCCGAACAGGCUAGAUGAACCAGGAAGUUCUUGGUCUUUGACGUGUAGUUAGAUCAUUACGCACACCAGCCUCUAGCGGAGAUGACGACCAAUGGACAAGCAGUCGGCAUCGUGUGAAGCCUUUAUGGUCGAGUGGGAGGAGGACAAGCGUCCAUAGGUGGAAGCUCGUCAAUGCAAUGACACAAUCCCCAGCCUCGAAAAA